Molecule: long non-coding RNA, 297 nt
Organism: Beta vulgaris subsp. vulgaris (sugar beet)
Lineage: Eukaryota; Viridiplantae; Streptophyta; Magnoliopsida; Caryophyllales; Amaranthaceae
Exons: 3
Source: RefSeq, a predicted model, not a curated record
ACAUCUUUUUUCUUACUCUCUCUCCUCACGCCAUUUCUGGCGUCCAACAGAGGGCUCUUUGGCAGCUUGUUCUCUUGGCUUCCUUGCUCUGAUUUCUCACAUGCAAUCACUUCCCUAGGUUCUUCAAGGUGUUGUUCAUACUGGGUAGACGUUAGUUUUGAGGUUUCAACAUUGUAAGCCAAAGAAAAACUAAGGAAGGUCUUAAAGAGUUGCUGGAGGAGUAGUACGAGUUGCUAAGCAAGGGCUAAAUUCCUAAACACCAAAUUAAGUUGUUUUGCAGGAAUAAGCUGAAGGUCA